Heterocephalus glaber (naked mole-rat) is the source of this 1780-nucleotide long non-coding RNA. RefSeq lists it as uncharacterized. The record is from RefSeq and is a predicted model, not a curated record. Lineage: Eukaryota; Metazoa; Chordata; Mammalia; Rodentia; Bathyergidae.
CGCUCGCCGCCCCUCGGUUCGGUUCGGCUGAAUUCCCUCCAACCACCCUCGCGGGAAAAGUUCCAGAAACCAAGUCCUCCACCUCGCCAAGUUCUGGAGGAAAGGUAGCUCAAAAUGCAAGCCAGUCCAGUUUCUGGUGAAGACUCCACCUGUCCUACCAAUGGCCACUGCUUUCUCACUUCAGCUUCCUUCUUCAGAGACAUGAAGACUAAAGGAAAACUUCCAGUGUUGAAUAUACAGUGACGUAAGUUGUUUCAAGAAAAGAUUAGCAUUUGAAUUGGUGACUAAAAGAAGAAAAUCACCCUCAGCAAUGUAGAUGGACUUUAUCCUAUCUGUUAUGGGCCCAAAUAGAACCAAAAAUACCAGAAAAAUGCCAAAUGUACUCCUUCUGCUUGAGCUGAGCCAUCCUUCUUCGCCUGUGCUUGGACAUGGGUGCUCCUUGUUCUCAGGUCCCGGGCUUGGACUGGAACUACAUCACCUUGGAUCCUCUGUUUUCUUGGGCCUCCACCUUGUAGACACAAUAGUGGGCCUUCCCAGCCUCCCUAAAGAUAGCCAAUCCCAAUCUUCCUUUUACCCCUCUAUCUCUUUUUAUAUCUCUAUAUCCAUUGAUUCCAUUCUUCUGGAGAAUCAUAACACAAGGUCAACCACAUACCUUCCUUGCUCUUAUCUGAACCUGAGAAAAACAGGCAAAAAUCCUCCCCUUUUAACUCUAGCCAACUUCUCAUUCUCAUCUUAUGAGUAAUUAGCUAAAAUUAAAACCGUGUGUCUCCAGAAAUUGAUUAGACAUUUUCUUUUCAGAUAACAGGCUGAGACCUUCCUAGAUUGCCAAACAAUUGCAAAUGUAAUUCGCUUAUACCUUUUUAACUACCUGUUAGCAAAGUUUAAGGCAAUAACACUUUGCGGAAAAACUAAUCUUUCACUCAGGAAUGUAGUCUUCAUUAAAACAGAAUGGCCAAGAUCAGUCUCUUGGCCAGUUUUUGUCUUUAAUGGGUCUGAGGGAGGUGAGGAGAGAAAUUUUCAUCCUUCUUAGGGAUUGUUCAACUAGAUUUAGUAGCCAAAUCAUACAGUCACACACAGUAUGUUUUUAGGUAGUCAGGAGAAAAUUACCUUUGAUCAGUUGAGGCCGAUCUUGAGCCAGAGAGCAACUAGGGAGGAGGAGUUUCUGCAAGGAACCUCCAAUAAAAGAUCAAUAAAUUAUAUAGUUAUUUUAUUAUGAUUUGCAUAUGCCUUCUCCAAGAUUCAUGUUGAAACUUAAUUUACAUUGUGGUACUACUAUUCAGAGGUGGGGCCUUUUGCAAAGUGCAUAAAUCCCGAGGGCUCUGCCUUCAUGAAUGGAUUAGUGCUGGAGGGAGCUUGCUCAGGACUCUUGCACUCUCUUCUACCAUGUGAAAAAUAUGGCGUUUUGGAAGCAGAGACUAGGCCUUCACCAGAUACUGAACCUGCUGUCCUCUUGCUCUUAGUCUUCUCAGCAUCCAGCAUAAAUGAACUAAGAUGAUAAUGCGCAGUCAUUUUUAUAUUUUUUUCUUAAUAUUGUGUGGUCUUCAAUACUCAGUAGGUUAUUUUUAAUCUUUCAUCUUUGUUAUAAUUGAACUAAGGAGAAUUAAAGGAAGAGUCCUACAUUUUGUCUGGAGAGAAAUGAUCAGAAGGAUCAAUACUCUCUCUGGUAGUGGGUGAAAUUAAGCAUAAAUCUCAAGCAAAGAACUUUGAGGUCUGACUCUAUUAACUCUGAAUAUCUCUAUUGCCUAAAAAAAAAAAUAUGUUGAAUAAGGUCAGACACUAG